Molecule: ribosomal RNA, 460 nt
Filed under: uncultured bacterium
Lineage: Bacteria
Description: partial 16S ribosomal RNA
Rfam family: Bacterial small subunit ribosomal RNA
Source: RNAcentral
CCUACGGGUGGCAGCAGUGAGGAAUAUUGGUCAAUGGGCGCAAGCCUGAACCAGCCAAGCCGCGUGAAGGAUGAAGGCCCUAAGGAUUGUAAACCUCUUUUAUCAGGGAGCAAAGUAAGCCACGUGUGCCUUUUGGGAAGUACCUGAUGAAUAAGGAUCGGCUAACUCCGUGCCAGCAGCCGCGGUAAUACGGAGGAUGCGAGCGUUAUCCGGAUUUAUUGGGUUUAAAGGGUGCGUAGGCGGGUUGUUAAGUCAGCGGUGAAAGGUUGGAGCUCAACCGUAAAACUGCAAUUGAUACUGGUAGUCUUGAGUACAGGAGAGGUAGGCGGAAUGCGUGGUGUAGCGGUGAAAUGCAUAGAUAUCACGAAGAACUCCGAUUGCGAAGGCAGCCUACUGGACUGCGACUGACGCUGAGGCACGAAAGUGUGGGUAUCGAACAGGAUUAGAUACCCGAGUAGUC